CCCUCCCUCUCUCCCUCACUGGGCCCCCAAUUUGUUUUGUCUGGAACUCAUCAGUGCACCAAUGGCCUCCAGCAUGGAACAAGGUAGGUGCUGAUGGGGAGAUGGAUUGAGGUAACAUAAUUUGGAAGAAAACCUGCAGCAGGCUGAAAAAGACGUGACUGGAGCCAUGGUUCACUUUCCAGCUAGACGACUAAACACUGUUGAGGCCCAUGGCAGCUUUCUUUUGCCAUCCUGUCAGCCCAAAGCAGAUGUGACAUCACCGCAGCCCGGCGCCGCUCUGCAACCCCCCCUCUCUGAUUCCCCAGCAUCUCUUUCUCCCACGCAUUCCUUCUUUCUCUCUGCCGCUGCACACACAGCCAUUUUGAUCUAACAAACAAAAUCUGUGGGUUCGGAGAGAAGGCCACGGAGGGAUUGAGAAAAAGUGAGAACGGCAGAAGGAACGACGGCCGAGAGACUCAAGCGUUUUAGUGCAACAAAGAUAAGGCUGAGGCUGUGGUGGGGUUGUUGUGUAACAGGAAUUUAAAAAAAAAGAGAGAGAGAGAGAAAAGUGCUUGCUGUUUGACUGCCAUCUUGCUUUAAGUCACUUUUUUUCCCCAAUUGGGGACACUGUGACUUUCUGCAUGAGGUAACGCUGCUGUUCCUGCAGAAAGGCAACAAGGGAAGCAAGAGUCAAAGACGAAGAGAUGAGGGAGGGAUGGGGGGGGGGUCAGAGAGGGAAAGAGAGAGUGGUGAGCAGAGGGGAGCGCAUGCUUGAGUCAGGCUGUUGUGAGGUGGGGGUAUCUUCAGCUCGGAGGCAAUCUAUUUUUACCAUUUAGCCAGAACAAAGGAUGUGAUUGGCUCCUCUGUGUUAGGACAAAUCUCCUUCAUGCAUGGAGCAAAGCCCGAAAAGGGCUGAUUCAUAGCUAAAUCCCAGCAACAGCAGAAUGCCACAGGGUUGCAGAAGAACAAGACAGACGGGAGCAGCCUGUUAUUUAUUAGAACAUGUGCAAAACUCCUCUGUUGCAUCAUGUGAAAUCCUCAUCCAGUAAGCGAAGAAGGAUGACUUCACGAAAUAGAAAGUUUAGCUUUAACUUGAAUUUGUUUGUGCCGUGAAAGUACUCCAGAAGCAUUUCGGGAAAUCUUCCAUCUGCCCUGCCGUGAAAAUGCAAAGUAUGCAAACAUGAUGAUUUGCAGCUCGUGCCUAAGAAGGAAGAGGGAGACUGAAGCAUGCGAGCUUAUCUGUGAGAUCUACCAGCCUAAACUUGUCCUAGCAGGCUGCUCGCAGAAGUGUGAGACUGCAGGCGCAUGCUUAUUUGCAUGGAAGGGUUUGUAGCUUGCAAGUCUUUGAAUGAUGGCAGGUCUUUCUGCUGCACUUUGUUCUUUUAUAUACAUCCCUCAAAAACACAUGGAUGUGAUUAAAAGUUGAUGCUCCACAGUAAUGUCUGGCAGUGAAAGAAGACUGAGAUACUAGGAAAACUACAGAAGGCAGCGAGAAAGCCGGAUGGGAGGCAGGAAAGGGAACAAGUCAAGCAAAGACCUAACACACUGCCUGAUGGGCUAUUGUUAAUGAAUCAAGGCAGCCUCAUUCAAAUGAUUCUGAAGCUCUAAUUCAAUCCGCCUUCUCUGAUUUUCCCAGGAGCAGAUGCUAUAGUUUAAUAUCUGUCUAAUACUCACUCCCUCGUGCCACACAGUCCAUCCCCUUCUCCCACUUUCUCCACAAACAAAGCAGUGAUCUCUCUCUCUCAGUAGAAGAUAAACUGAGACCAAGAAGAAGAAAAAAAAAAGAAAAUAUUUAUGCAUAGUGUGCCAUUUGCUUUUUUAAAAUAGGCCAAAACUAUUUGUUUGCCAAAUAGAGACAUCCAGAAGGAAAGAUUGUAGAGAGUUUCCUUCUGUAUGUGAUGCAAACCGAGUGUGGGAACUCCAUCCAAGCAAGACUUAGAGUAAUUUUUGCAAGUAUCAAUUUUUAAUCUCAGAUGUCAACAUUAAUUACUGUAGAGAGACAUUAAACACACAAAGGUAAAGUGCAAAGUCACACUUAAAAAUAAGUAGCUUAGCUUAAAGCAAAUUCAGCUCUUUUUUUAAUCUUAAGCACCCUCAUUAAUUGUUAAAACUCGCCAAGGGAGAGCGGCUUAAAUGUAUUUCACAGCCCGCGAGUUACUUGAGUCUCAUUCAGGUGUAACCAAGCAUCGGUAGGUUAGACCGAUAACAAGAUUUAUCAAGCUUUUAAAAGGAUGCAAUUUUAAAACGUAAAAAGCAAACAAGAAGAUGUCAUGCUGUCCAUACAGAUUAAAGUCCUUUUAAUGAGAUGAUGGAGGAGGUGCGAGUUGUCUUUAGGUUGUUAAAGGUUGACUAGUCCUUGGCUUUAUUUAGCCAUUAAAAUACAUUGAAAGGGUCCCAUCGUAUUUUUGUCAAAAUAAAGAUAUUAAAGGUCAGCCUCGGUUUGUUAGUUUCUUCUGCCCAACCAACUUUCAACCACAAUUAGACAUUGAUUGACAUCUUUGUGAAGACACAUUUUCGCCUUUCUUUUUUAUUCUCAUGUUGCUCAGACGGAAGGGAAGAACAACUUUUCUUCUAUUCAUCUAGUCGACUAAUUUUGCUCCACUGGAUGUGUCUUGGAAGUUAGAUUGGAUCGGGAAAGGAUGUUACACCCGGGUUUAGCACAAGCUAUUGCAAGUCUAAAAGCCAGUGGGAUUUCCUAAUGUUAAUCCACCAUUACCUGAUAACAUUGUAUUCUGUUCUACUUUAUGCAUUCAAAUAUUAAAAAAUAAAGUUGGAGCUUGA
Long non-coding RNA from Poecilia reticulata (guppy), 2760 nucleotides. RefSeq lists it as uncharacterized. The record is from RefSeq and is a predicted model, not a curated record. NCBI's taxonomy places the organism in Eukaryota, Metazoa, Chordata, Actinopteri, Cyprinodontiformes, Poeciliidae.